Molecule: ribosomal RNA, 919 nt
Filed under: uncultured bacterium
Lineage: Bacteria
Description: bacterial SSU rRNA
Rfam family: Bacterial small subunit ribosomal RNA
Source: RNAcentral
AGAGUUUGAUCCUGGCUCAGAUUGAACGCUGGCGGCAUGCCUUACACAUGCAAGUCGAACGGCAGCAUGAUCUAGCUUGCUAGAUUGAUGGCGAGUGGCGGACGGGUGAGUAAUACAUCGGAACGUGCCCUGUAGUGGGGGAUAACUAGUCGAAAGAUUAGCUAAUACCGCAUACGACCUGAGGGUGAAAGUGGGGGACCGCAAGGCCUCAUGCUAUAGGAGCGGCCGAUGUCUGAUUAGCUAGUUAGUGGGGUAAAGGCCCACCAAGGCGACGAUCAGUAGCUGGUCUGAGAGGACGAUCAGCCACACUGGGACUGAGACACGGCCCAGACUCCUACGGGAGGCAGCAGUGGGGAAUUUUGGACAAUGGGCGAAAGCCUGAUCCAGCAAUGCCGCGUGUGUGAAGAAGGCCUUCGGGUUGUAAAGCACUUUUGUCCGGAAAGAAAUGGCUCUGGUUAAUACCUGGGGUCGAUGACGGUACCGGAAGAAUAAGGACCGGCUAACUACGUGCCAGCAGCCGCGGUAAUACGUAGGGUCCAAGCGUUAAUCGGAAUUACUGGGCGUAAAGCGUGCGCAGGCGGUUGUGCAAGACCGAUGUGAAAUCCCCGAGCUUAACUUGGGAAUUGCAUUGGUGACUGCACGGCUAGAGUGUGUCAGAGGGGGGUAGAAUUCCACGUGUAGCAGUGAAAUGCGUAGAGAUGUGGAGGAAUACCGAUGGCGAAGGCAGCCCCCUGGGAUAACACUGACGCUCAUGCACGAAAGCGUGGGGAGCAAACAGGAUUAGAUACCCUGGUAGUCCACGCCCUAAACGAUGUCAACUAGUUGUUGGGGAUUCAUUUCCUUAGUAACGUAGCUAACGCGUGAAGUUGACCGCCUGGGGAGUACGGUCGCAAGAUUAAAACUCAAAGGAAUUGACGGG